UACGAAGGGUGCAAGCGUUGCUCGGAAUUAUUGGGCGUAAAGGGUAGGUAGGUGGUCUUAUUUGUCCGGGGUGAAAGCCUUGAGCUUAACUCAAGAAGUGCCUCGGAAACGGUAAGACUGGAGUCCUGGAGAGGGUCGUGGAAUUCCCGGUGUAGCGGUGAAAUGCGUAGAGAUCGGGAGGAACACCAGAGGCGAAGGCGGCGACCUGGACAGGCACUGACACUCAACUACGAAAGCGUGGGGAGCAAACAGG
Molecule: ribosomal RNA, 253 nt
Filed under: uncultured bacterium
Lineage: Bacteria
Description: partial 16S ribosomal RNA
Rfam family: Bacterial small subunit ribosomal RNA
Source: RNAcentral